Molecule: long non-coding RNA, 1491 nt
Filed under: Gadus morhua (Atlantic cod)
Lineage: Eukaryota; Metazoa; Chordata; Actinopteri; Gadiformes; Gadidae
Description: lncRNA (ENSGMOG00000034901.1)
Source: RNAcentral
AUGGACCCUGGAAUUCGUAACCAGCGUUGGAAGAUCAAAGCCCUCCAGGAGUCGAUCGACUCCAACCCCAUCCAUACUCCAUUCUUCAUACUGACGGAAACCCACCUCAAGUCCUACCAUCUGGAUGCAGAAGUGCACAUCUCUGGCUACUCUUGCUACCGGGCAGAUGGAGUAAACCGUGUGAGAGGUGGGGCUGCCAUCUACCUACACAAUUCGAUCACGGUUGAGAAAAGUAGGGUUUUCUCCAACUCCUAUUGUGAAAUUGCUUGCGUUUACAGUAAGGAACUCAACAUGAUCAUCGCUGGGAUUUAUCGUCCACCCCUGUCACCUUUCGACAAAUUCGAUGAAUGUCUGGUUAUCCUCCAUCGCUUCAUUGAUGAAGUGGGAUCUACCCCUGAACUCCACAUAGCGGGUGAUUUCAACCUCCCUUUUGUCAACUGGAGAACUUCCUCGGUUGAUCCCGGGUGUAGCAUCCUGCUGUCAGACAGGCAGACUGCACUCUCCCUCAUCGCCUUCAUGGAAGAACACUUCCUACUUCAGUUGCCAACUCGCAACAGCAACAUACUGGACCUCGUUUUCUCCAACAACUGUGAUUCUGUCCACAGCACAACCGUAGCGAAGACAGAAAUGUCCGAUCACGACUUCGUCAACUGUGUCCUCCUCCAUCCUGACCUCCUCCCUCCAUCGCAGACUCCUGAACGACUCGUCUUCACUCCCUCAUGCCCCCUGGACGACAUUAACUUCAAUUCGGCAGACUGGGGAGCCACCAACUCCGAAUUCCAGAGCAUGGACUGGUCUAACGUCACUGAUACAAGAAACGACCAGGACACCGCCUGGAAACUCUUUGAAGACACAGUAGCUAACAUCUGCUGCAAACAUGCCCCCUCCCAUACGCGGGGUAUGGAAGCUUCUGCGAAAUCCUCCAUCCCAAGACCUAGAAGGGAUCUCCUCCGUAAAAAACGCCGCCUAAAUGGCCACAUCAACGCCAUAAAAUAUUGUUCUAGAACUCCAAGGAACAACACUAAGCUCGAGCAGCUCAACAAAGAACGCGCAACCAUCGAAAUUCUUCUGAAGGAUAACAUCAAGAGGGAGCGCCUUCUUCAGGAAGUAGCAGCUAUUAGCAAGAUAAAGAAGAACCCUACAGCCUUCUUUACCUUUGCUAAGAAAUCGGCUAAGUUCAGAUCUUCUGUUGGUCCCCUCGUUGAUGGCGACAACAAGCUUGAAUCCGAUUCAGCCCGAAUGGGCGACAUCCUCCAACAACAGUACAAACAAGCUUUUAGCAACCCAAACAAUGUGGAAGCUAACAACAUCAAGCUACAUCAGCAGACGGCCGAGUCUUUGACAGACAUUACUCUAACUCAAGAUGAUGUUCUGGAGGCAAUCAAAGAUAUCGGGAUCCACUCAGCCCCGGGUCCGGACAAGUUCCCUGCUGUACUUCUCCAUGAGUGCAAAGACGCACUAUCCCUCCCCAUCCUCCACCUCUGGAGAUGA